GAUGAACGCUGGCGGUGUGCCUAACACAUGCAAGUCGAGCGAUUCUCUUCGGAGAAGAGCGGCGGACGGGUGAGUAACGCGUGGGUAACCUGCCCUGUACACACGGAUAACAUACCGAAAGGUAUGCUAAUACGAGAUAAUAUACUUUUAUCGCAUGGUAGAAGUAUCAAAGCUCCGGCGGUACAGGAUGGACCCGCGUCUGAUUAGCUAGUUGGUGAGGUAACGGCUCACCAAGGCGACGAUCAGUAGCCGACCUGAGAGGGUGAUCGGCCACAUUGGAACUGAGACACGGUCCAAACUCCUACGGGAGGCAGCAGUGGGGAAUAUUGCACAAUGGGCGAAAGCCUGAUGCAGCAACGCCGCGUGAGCGAUGAAGGCCUUCGGGUCGUAAAGCUCUGUCCUCAAGGAAGAUAAUGACGGUACUUGAGGAGGAAGCCCCGGCUAACUACGUGCCAGCCGCCGCGGUAA
This 468-nucleotide ribosomal RNA is filed under the name uncultured bacterium. Its description in RNAcentral is "partial 16S ribosomal RNA". It matches the Rfam family "Bacterial small subunit ribosomal RNA", at positions 28 to 523 of the family's 1533-position model. The record is from RNAcentral.